RNAcentral lists this transfer RNA (62 nucleotides) under Robertmurraya massiliosenegalensis. It matches the Rfam family "tRNA", at positions 6 to 65 of the family's 71-position model. From Rfam's summary of the family: Transfer RNA (tRNA) molecules are approximately 80 nucleotides in length. Their secondary structure includes four short double-helical elements and three loops (D, anti-codon, and T loops). The record is from RNAcentral. Lineage: Bacteria; Bacillati; Bacillota; Bacilli; Caryophanales; Bacillaceae. RNAcentral also lists the same sequence under 2 other names.
CGGUAGCUCAGUGGUAGAGCAAUCGGCUGUUAACCGAUCGGUCGUAGGUUCGAAUCCUACCC